CAAGCGAUGUGGGUGUGUCCUCUUGGCCCCCGCCUCUCUGACCCCGCCCCCUCCGCUGGGCGUGGCCGGUGGGGGGAGGGGCGGGGCCGUGACCGCCAAUAAACCCUCGGUGACCGCGAUGGCUCCGCCCACUUUGUGAGGGGGGAGGGGCUUAACAGGGGGGCGUGGCCUGAGCGCCAAAGGGGGCGGGGCUAAACCCGCCAGAUUCCUCCUAAAUCUGCGGGUUUUUUCCCCAAAAAAGGCCCAUUUUAUGUCCAAAAAUUCUGGUUUUUCCCCCCAAAAAACCCGUCUUUUUGUCCCCAAAAUAAAAUAAAAAACCCACCCAAUUCUGCCUUUUUUUCCCCCAAAAAUGUGGGGUUUUUUCCCUCAAAAUUCUCCUUGGUUGGUUCUUUGUCCCCAAAUUCCCCGUUUAUCCCCCCCUAAAAACCAGAUUUUUUUUUUUUUUAAAUUUUUUUUUCUCCCAAAAUUCCAUUUAUUUCCCCUCAAACGCCCCCGGAGUCACCCCGGGGUCAAAGGUCACUCUGGGAGGUCGAUGGACACUCUGGGGUCAGAGGUCACUCGGGGGUCACUCCAGGGUCAAAGGUCACUCCAGGAGAUCGAUGGUCACUCCAGAGUCAGAGGUCACUCUGGGGUCACUCCAGGGUCAAAGGUCACUCCAGGAGAUCGAUGGUCACUCCGGGAUCACUCAGAGGUCAAAGGUCACUCUGGGAGGUCAAUGGUCACUCGGGGGUCACUCCAGGGUCAAAGGUCACUCCAGGAGAUCGAUGGUCACUCCAGGGUCACUCCAGGGUCAAAGGUCACUCCAAGGUCAAAGGUCACUCCAGGGUCACUCCAGGGUCAAAGGUCACUCCAGGGUCACUCAGAGGUCA
Molecule: long non-coding RNA, 869 nt
Organism: Myiozetetes cayanensis
Lineage: Eukaryota; Metazoa; Chordata; Aves; Passeriformes; Tyrannidae
Exons: 3
Source: RefSeq, a predicted model, not a curated record